AAUAUUGCGCAAUGGAGGGAACUCUGACGCAGCGACGCCGCGUGAGCGAUGAAGGUCUUCGGAUCGUAAAGCUCUGUCCUUGGGGAAGAAGGUCGUCGGACUUGACGGUACCUAAGGAGGAAGCCCCGGCUAACUACGUGCCCGCAGCCGCGGUAAUACGUAGGGGGCAAGCGUUGUCCGGAAUUAUUGGGCGUAAAGGGUGCGUGGGCGGCCUUUUAAGUCAGAUGUGAAAUACCACGGCUCAACUGUGGGGGUGCAUUUGAAACUGGUUGGCUUGAGUGCAGGAGAGGAAAGUGGAAUUCCUAGUGUAGCGGUGAAAUGCGUAGAGAUCAGGAGGAACACCAGUGGCGAAGGCGACUUUCUGGACUGUAACUGACGCUCAUGCACGAAAGCGUGGGGAGCAAAC
RNAcentral lists this ribosomal RNA (406 nucleotides) under uncultured bacterium. RNAcentral's name for it is "partial 16S ribosomal RNA". It matches the Rfam family "Bacterial small subunit ribosomal RNA", at positions 360 to 773 of the family's 1533-position model. The record is from RNAcentral.